GGUUAAGCGACUAAGCGUACACGGUGGAUGCCCUGGCAGUCAGAGGCGAUGAAGGACGUGCUAAUCUGCGAAAAGCGUCGGUAAGGUGAUAUGAACCGUUAUAACCGGCGAUGUCCGAAUGGGGAAACCCAGUGCAAUUCGUUGCACUAUCGUUAACUGAAUACAUAGGUUAACGAGGCGAACCGGGGGAACUGAAACAUCUAAGUACCCCGAGGAAAAGAAAUCAACCGAGAUUCCCCCAGUAGCGGCGAGCGAACGGGGAGCAGCCCAGAGUCUGAAUCAGCUUGUGUGUUAGUGGAACGGUCUGGAAAGUCCGACGGUACAGGGUGAUAGUCCCGUACACCAAAAUGCACAGGCUGUGAACUCGAAGAGUAGGGCGGGACACGUGGUAUCCUGUCUGAAUAUGGGGGGACCAUCCUCCAAGGCUAAAUACUCCUGACUGACCGAUAGUGAACCAGUACCGUGAGGGAAAGGCGAAAAGAACCCCGGCGAGGGGAGUGAAAAAGAACCUGAAACCGUGUACGUACAAGCAGUGGGAGCACCUUCGGGUGUGACUGCGUACCUUUUGUAUAAUGGGUCAGCGACUUAUAUUCUGUAGCAAGGUUAACCGUAUAGGGGAGCCGCAGGGAAACCGAGUCUUAACUGGGCGUUAAGUUGCAGGGUAUAGACCCGAAACCCGGUGAUCUAGCCAUGGGCAGGUUGAAGGUUGGGUAACACUAACUGGAGGACCGAACCGACUAAUGUUGAAAAAUUAGCGGAUGACUUGUGGCUGGGGGUGAAAGGCCAAUCAAACCGGGAGAUAGCUGGUUCUCCCCGAAAGCUAUUUAGGUAGCGCCUCGUGAACUCAUCUUCGGGGGUAGAGCACUGUUUCGGCUAGGGGGUCAUCCCGACUUACCAACCCGAUGCAAACUACGAAUACCGAAGAAUGUUAUCACGGGAGACACACGGCGGGUGCUAACGUCCGUCGUGAAGAGGGAAACAACCCAGACCGCCAGCUAAGGUCCCAAAGUCAUGGUUAAGUGGGAAACGAUGUGGGAAGGCACAGACAGCCAGGAUGUUGGCUUAGAAGCAGCCAUCAUUUAAAGAAAGCGUAAUAGCUCACUGGUCGAGUCGGCCUGCGCGGAAGAUGUAACGGGGCUAAACCAUGCACCGAAGCUGCGGCAGCGACACUAUGUGUUGUUGGGUAGGGGAGCGUUCUGUAAGCCUGCGAAGGUGUGCUGUGAGGCAUGCUGGAGGUAUCAGAAGUGCGAAUGCUGACAUAAGUAACGAUAAAGCGGGUGAAAAGCCCGCUCGCCGGAAGACCAAGGGUUCCUGUCCAACGUUAAUCGGGGCAGGGUGAGUCGACCCCUAAGGCGAGGCCGAAAGGCGUAGUCGAUGGGAAACAGGUUAAUAUUCCUGUACUUGGUGUUACUGCGAAGGGGGGACGGAGAAGGCUAUGUUAGCCGGGCGACGGUUGUCCCGGUUUAAGCAUGUAGGCUGGUUAUCCAGGCAAAUCCGGAUAAUCAAGGCUGAGGUGUGAUGACGAGGCACUACGGUGCUGAAGUAACAAAUGCCCUGCUUCCAGGAAAAGCCUCUAAGCAUCAGGUAACAUCAAAUCGUACCCCAAACCGACACAGGUGGUCAGGUAGAGAAUACCAAGGCGCUUGAGAGAACUCGGGUGAAGGAACUAGGCAAAAUGGUGCCGUAACUUCGGGAGAAGGCACGCUGGUGUGUAGGUGAAGUCCCUGCGGAUGGAGCUGAGACCAGUCGAAGAUACCAGCUGGCUGCAACUGUUUAUUAAAAACACAGCACUGUGCAAACACGAAAGUGGACGUAUACGGUGUGACGCCUGCCCGGUGCCGGAAGGUUAAUUGAUGGGGUUAUCCGUAAGGAGAAGCUCUUGAUCGAAGCCCCGGUAAACGGCGGCCGUAACUAUAACGGUCCUAAGGUAGCGAAAUUCCUUGUCGGGUAAGUUCCGACCUGCACGAAUGGCGUAAUGAUGGCCAGGCUGUCUCCACCCGAGACUCAGUGAAAUUGAACUCGCUGUGAAGAUGCAGUGUACCCGCGGCAAGACGGAAAGACCCCGUGAACCUUUACUAUAGCUUGACACUGAACAUUGAGCCUUGAUGUGUAGGAUAGGUGGGAGGCUUUGAAGCGUGGACGCCAGUCUGCGUGGAGCCAACCUUGAAAUACCACCCUUUAAUGUUUGAUGUUCUAACGUUGGCCCCUUACCGGGGUUGCGGACAGUGUCUGGUGGGUAGUUUGACUGGGGCGGUCUCCUCCCAAAGCGUAACGGAGGAGCACGAAGGUUAGCUAAUCCUGGUCGGACAUCAGGAGGUUAGUGCAAUGGCAUAAGCUAGCUUGACUGCGAGCGUGACGGCGCGAGCAGGUGCGAAAGCAGGUCAUAGUGAUCCGGUGGUUCUGAAUGGAAGGGCCAUCGCUCAACGGAUAAAAGGUACUCCGGGGAUAACAGGCUGAUACCGCCCAAGAGUUCAUAUCGACGGCGGUGUUUGGCACCUCGAUGUCGGCUCAUCACAUCCUGGGGCUGAAGUAGGUCCCAAGGGUAUGGCUGUUCGCCAUUUAAAGUGGUACGCGAGCUGGGUUUAGAACGUCGUGAGACAGUUCGGUCCCUAUCUGCCGUGGGCGCUGGAGAAUUGAGGGGGGCUGCUCCUAGUACGAGAGGACCGGAGUGGACGCAUCACUGGUGUUCGGGUUGUCAUGCCAAUGGCACUGCCCGGUAGCUAAAUGCGGAAGAGAUAAGUGCUGAAAGCAUCUAAGCACGAAACUUGCCCCGAGAUGAGUUCUCCCUGAGACUUUAAGUCUCCUGAAGGAACGUU
Molecule: ribosomal RNA, 2816 nt
Filed under: Klebsiella pneumoniae
Lineage: Bacteria; Pseudomonadati; Pseudomonadota; Gammaproteobacteria; Enterobacterales; Enterobacteriaceae
Description: partial 23S ribosomal RNA
Rfam family: Bacterial large subunit ribosomal RNA
Source: RNAcentral